This 850-nucleotide ribosomal RNA is filed under the name Streptococcus anginosus. Its description in RNAcentral is "bacterial SSU rRNA". It matches the Rfam family "Bacterial small subunit ribosomal RNA", at positions 113 to 949 of the family's 1533-position model. The record is from RNAcentral. Lineage: Bacteria; Bacillati; Bacillota; Bacilli; Lactobacillales; Streptococcaceae.
ACGCGUAGGUAACCUGCCUGGUAGCGGGGGAUAACUAUUGGAAACGAUAGCUAAUACCGCAUAAGAACAUUUACUGCAUGGUAGAUGUUUAAAAGGUGCAAAAGCAUCACUACCAGAUGGACCUGCGUUGUAUUAGCUAGUUGGUGAGGUAACGGCUCACCAAGGCAACGAUACAUAGCCGACCUGAGAGGGUGAUCGGCCACACUGGGACUGAGACACGGCCCAGACUCCUACGGGAGGCAGCAGUAGGGAAUCUUCGGCAAUGGGGGGAACCCUGACCGAGCAACGCCGCGUGAGUGAAGAAGGUUUUCGGAUCGUAAAGCUCUGUUGUUAAGGAAGAACGUGUGUGAGAGUGGAAAGUUCACACAGUGACGGUACUUAACCAGAAAGGGACGGCUAACUACGUGCCAGCAGCCGCGGUAAUACGUAGGUCCCGAGCGUUGUCCGGAUUUAUUGGGCGUAAAGCGAGCGCAGGCGGUUAGAUAAGUCUGAAGUGAAAGGCAGUGGCUCAACCAUUGUAGGCUUUGGAAACUGUUUAACUUGAGUGCAGAAGGGGAGAGUGGAAUUCCAUGUGUAGCGGUGAAAUGCGUAGAUAUAUGGAGGAACACCGGUGGCGAAAGCGGCUCUCUGGUCUGUAACUGACGCUGAGGCUCGAAAGCGUGGGGAGCGAACAGGAUUAGAUACCCUGGUAGUCCACGCCGUAAACGAUGAGUGCUAGGUGUUAGGUCCUUUCCGGGACUUAGUGCCGCAGCUAACGCAUUAAGCACUCCGCCUGGGGAGUACGACCGCAAAGGUUGAAACUCAAAGGAAUUGACGGGGGCCCGCACAAGCGGUGGAGCAUGUGGUUUAA